CAGUCGCCGCGGUAAUACGAAGGGGGCUAGCGUUGUUCGGAUUUACUGGGCGUAAAGGGUGCGUAGGCGGAUUGUUAAGUCAGGGGUGAAAUCCCGAGGCUCAACCUCGGAACUGCCUUUGAUACUGGCGAUCUUGAGUCCGGGAGAGGUGAGUGGAACUGCGAGUGUAGAGGUGAAAUUCGUAGAUAUUCGCAAGAACACCGGUGGCGAAGGCGGCUCACUGGUCCGGAACUGACGCUGAGGCACGAAAGCGUGGGGAGCAAACAGGAUUAGAUACCCCCGUAGUCCCUGUCUCUUAUAC
This 301-nucleotide ribosomal RNA is filed under the name uncultured bacterium. Its description in RNAcentral is "partial 16S ribosomal RNA". It matches the Rfam family "Bacterial small subunit ribosomal RNA", at positions 509 to 807 of the family's 1533-position model. The record is from RNAcentral.